ACGGGUGAGUAAUACAUCGGAACGUGCCCUGUAGUGGGGGAUAACUAGUCGAAAGAUUAGCUAAUACCGCAUACGACCUGAGGGUGAAAGUGGGGGACCGCAAGGCCUCAUGCUAUAGGAGCGGCCGAUGUCUGAUUAGCUAGUUGGUGAGGUAAAGGCUCACCAAGGCGACGAUCAGUAGCUGGUCUGAGAGGACGAUCAGCCACACUGGGACUGAGACACGGCCCAGACUCCUACGGGAGGCAGCAGUGGGGAAUUUUGGACAAUGGGCGAAAGCCUGAUCCAGCAAUGCCGCGUGUGUGAAGAAGGCCUUCGGGUUGUAAAGCACUUUUGUCCGGAAAGAAAUGGCUCUGGUUAAUACCUGGGGUCGAUGACGGUACCGGAAGAAUAAGGACCGGCUAACUACGUGCCAGCAGCCGCGGUAAUACGUAGGGUCCAAGCGUUAAUCGGAAUUACUGGGCGUAAAGCGUGCGCAGGCGGUUGUGCAAGACCGAUGUGAAAUCCCCGAGCUUAACUUGGGAAUUGCAUUGGUGACUGCACGGCUAGAGUGUGUCAGAGGGGGGUAGUAUUCCACGUGU
This 578-nucleotide ribosomal RNA is filed under the name uncultured bacterium. RNAcentral's name for it is "bacterial SSU rRNA". It matches the Rfam family "Bacterial small subunit ribosomal RNA", at positions 102 to 676 of the family's 1533-position model. The record is from RNAcentral.